This 540-nucleotide ribosomal RNA is filed under the name uncultured bacterium. RNAcentral's name for it is "bacterial SSU rRNA". It matches the Rfam family "Bacterial small subunit ribosomal RNA", at positions 777 to 1315 of the family's 1533-position model. The record is from RNAcentral.
AAUAGAUACCCUGGUAGUCCACCCCGUAAACGUUGGGAACUAGUUGUGGGGUCCUUUCCACGGAUUCCGUGACGCAGCUAACGCAUUAAGUUCCCCGCCUGGGGAGUACGGCCGCAAGGCUAAAACUCAAAGGAAUUGACGGGGACCCGCACAAGCGGCGGAGCAUGCGGAUUAAUUCGAUGCAACGCGAAGAACCUUACCAAGGCUUGACAUACGCCAGAACACCCUAGAAAUAGGGGACUCUUUGGACACUGGUGAACAGGUGGUGCAUGGUUGUCGUCAGCUCGUGUCGUGAGAUGUUGGGUUAAGUCCCGCAACGAGCGCAACCCUCGUUCUAUGUUGCCAGCACGUAAUGGUGGGAACUCAUGGGAUACUGCCGGGGUCAACUCGGAGGAAGGUGGGGAUGACGUCAAAUCAUCAUGCCCCUUAUGUCUUGGGCUUCACGCAUGCUACAAUGGCCGGUACAAAGGGCUGCAAUACCGUGAGGUGGAGCGAAUCCCAAAAAGCCGGUCCCAGUUCGGAUUGAGGUCUGCAACUCGA